AUUACAGUGAACAUUGAUAUAAUUUAAGUUGUA
Molecule: non-coding RNA, 33 nt
Filed under: Trypanosoma brucei brucei
Lineage: Eukaryota; Euglenozoa; Kinetoplastea; Trypanosomatida; Trypanosomatidae
Source: RNAcentral